UGGGGAAUUUUGGACAAUGGGGGAAACCCUGAUCCAGCCAUCCCGCGUGUGCGAUGAGGGCCUUCGGGUUGUAAAGCACUUUUGGCAGGAAAGAAACGUCGCGGGUUAAUACCCCGCGAAACUGACGGUACCUGCAGAAUAAGCACCGGCUAACUACGUGCCAGCAGCCGCGGUAAUACGUAGGGUGCAAGCGUUAAUCGGAAUUACUGGGCGUAAAGCGUGCGCAGGCGGUUCGGAAAGAAAGAUGUGAAAUCCCAGAGCUUAACUUUGGAACUGCAUUUUUAACUACCGGGCUAGAGUGUGUCAGAGGGAGGUGGAAUUCCGCGUGUAGCAGUGAAAUGCGUAGAUAUGCGGAGGAACACCGAUGGCGAAGGCAGCCUCCUGGGAUAACACUGACGCUCAUGCACGAAAGCGUGGGGAGCAAACAGGAUUAGAUACCCUGGUAGUCCACGCCCUAAACGAUGUCAACUAGCUGUUGGGGCCUUCGGGCCUUGGUAGCGCAGCUAACGCGUGAAGUUGACCGCCUGGGGAGUACGGUCGCAAGAUUAAAACUCAAAGGAAUU
RNAcentral lists this ribosomal RNA (563 nucleotides) under uncultured bacterium. RNAcentral's name for it is "partial 16S ribosomal RNA". It matches the Rfam family "Bacterial small subunit ribosomal RNA", at positions 355 to 911 of the family's 1533-position model. The record is from RNAcentral.